RNAcentral lists this ribosomal RNA (492 nucleotides) under uncultured bacterium. Its description in RNAcentral is "partial 16S ribosomal RNA". It matches the Rfam family "Bacterial small subunit ribosomal RNA", at positions 29 to 507 of the family's 1533-position model. The record is from RNAcentral.
AGUGAACGCUGGCGGUAGGCCUAACACAUGCAAGUCGAACGGCAGCACAGUAAGAGCUUGCUCUUACGGGUGGCGAGUGGCGGACGGGUGAGGAAUACAUCGGAAUCUACUUUUUCGUGGGGGAUAACGUAGGGAAACUUACGCUAAUACCGCAUACGACCUACGGGUGAAAGCAGGGGAUCUUCGGACCUUGCGCGAUUGAAUGAGCCGAUGUCGGAUUAGCUAGUUGGCGGGGUAAAGGCCCACCAAGGCGACGAUCCGUAGCUGGUCUGAGAGGAUGAUCAGCCACACUGGAACUGAGACACGGUCAAGACUCCUACGGGAGGCAGCAGUGGGGAAUAUUGGACAAUGGGCGCAAGCCUGAUCCAGCCAUACCGCGUGGGUGAAGAAGGCCUUCGGGUUGUAAAGCCCUUUUGUUGGGAAAGAAAAGCAGCAGGUUAAUACCCCGCUGUUCUGACGGUACCCAAAGAAUAAGCACCGGCUAACUUCCUG